GAUGAACGCUAGCGACAGGCCUAACACAUGCAAGUCGAGGGGCAGCACGGUGUAGCAAUACACGGGUGGCGACCGGCGCACGGGUGAGUAACGCGUAUGCAACCUGCCUACUACAAGGGGAUAACCCGUUGAAAGACGGACUAAUACCCUAUAACACAGGGAAUACGCAUGGAUAUAUGUGUUAAAGAUUUAUCGGUAGUCACUGGGCAUGCGUUCCAUUAGCUUGUUGGUGAGGUAACGGCUCACCAAGGCAAAGAUGGAUAGGGGAACUGAGAGGUUGAUCCCCCACACUGGAACUGAGACACGGUCCAGACUCCUACGGGAGGCAGCAGUGAGUAAUAUUGGUCAAUGGACGAGAGUCUGAACCAGCCAAGUCGCGUGAAGGAAGAUGGCCCUACGGGUUGUAAACUUCUUUUGUAAGGGAAUAAAUAGUCUUACGCGCUAAGACGUUGCAGGUACCUUACGAAUAAGGAUCGGCUAACUCCGUGCCAGCCGCCGCCGUAA
This 504-nucleotide ribosomal RNA is filed under the name uncultured bacterium. Its description in RNAcentral is "partial 16S ribosomal RNA". It matches the Rfam family "Bacterial small subunit ribosomal RNA", at positions 28 to 523 of the family's 1533-position model. The record is from RNAcentral.